RNAcentral lists this long non-coding RNA (901 nucleotides) under Equus caballus (horse). Its description in RNAcentral is "lncRNA (ENSECAG00000053656.1)". Lineage: Eukaryota; Metazoa; Chordata; Mammalia; Perissodactyla; Equidae. The record is from RNAcentral.
AUGCAUCACCUUAACAAGAGCCAUGCAGCAGGUGUAAUGGAACUCAAACAAUUAGGAUUCAAAGAAAGGGCGUGGCAGACCCCUGGGCUAACAGCCCAUGGGAUGAACCUCAAUGGCCCCCACCGGUGUCCAUAUCAGCACGCCUGGACCAGCUCAGAACAAUGGCCCCCACCAAUGUCUCAGUCUCCAGAGAGGUCCCUCCUCUCACCAAGAUGCCCCCAGAGCCCACCAGAGCCCUGACUGUUCAUUCUUGCACCGCCUCCAUGUGACCCAGGGGAAACUGACUCCAUGCUCAGCUCCAGGAGUGGAUCCUGACUGGUCUACGCCAAUCACAGUAAUCUCACCCUUCCUUGCCAGUAAUUGGUUCAGGAACCCAAGCCAGUCAUUGGAGGUCACCAUCCCACCACCAUGGGAUGGACACAUGCCUAAACUGACUAAUCAGGAGAGAGAAGGACUUCUCUUCCAUGGUUUGGUGAGAGAUUUUUCUUCUUUUGAGCCAGACAUGAAUAAUGAGAUGGACAGCCCCAGUUGCUACUGACAGAGUUCUUACCACCAUGAGGGAAGGUAGCCUUGGCUGGAACUGAUGUCCUGGAUGACAGAGUGGAAAGAGAGAGAGAACCAUCUGAGUCCUGGCCAAUCUGGGGAUUACCAACCCCAAGACCCCUACACCUGAGGAUUUAGAGGCUGAAACCUCAAGUGAGACUGCUGCUGCAGUGUUGAAGAUUAAAUGCUCAAUAUGUGGUCCCUAAAGGCAGAUUUAAAGGAAGAGACAACAAUCAGCCUCUCUAUAUAUCACCAUCUUCAAUUAUUUUGUUCAAAGACAAGGCUCAACCAAAGACAAAGCUCAACAUCCAAAACAAGAUGUCAAACAAGAAGAUGCCAAAAAAGAAGUUUCUUGCUG